RNAcentral lists this ribosomal RNA (222 nucleotides) under Triticum aestivum (bread wheat). Its description in RNAcentral is "partial small subunit ribosomal RNA". The record is from RNAcentral. Lineage: Eukaryota; Viridiplantae; Streptophyta; Magnoliopsida; Poales; Poaceae.
AUGAGUAUCAUCAGCUGGAACUGUCGAGGUGCGGGCAAAGCCUCGACAAUUCGUGAACUUCGUGAGAUUGUGAAUUUUUUUGCCCCUACCUUACUUUGUAUUCUAGAAACUCAAAUCGACAAAGUUAGGGUAAAAAGUCUAGCUACUUCUAUUGGUUUUGAUAAAGGAUAUGUUGUAAGCAGUGUUGGUAGAAGCGGAGGCAUCGGUUUUGUUUUAGAAUAA